This 2576-nucleotide long non-coding RNA is filed under the name Homo sapiens (human). Its description in RNAcentral is "HSALNT0204340". Lineage: Eukaryota; Metazoa; Chordata; Mammalia; Primates; Hominidae. The record is from RNAcentral.
GGAAAGUUUUACCGCGUGGUUAACCAAAGAGGAAGAAGCUGAAUUGCAGCUUGUGGAGCAGAUGCAUCAGCAACAGCAUGCCCCCAGCUACAGCCUCAAAAGCCUUUGCCUUUUUUCAAUUAAUUUGCUAAUGUGGGGAUGAGGGUACGCUUGUGUUUUUGCAGGAGAUGAACAAACUCUAUGGGUGCCCUUAAGGUGUGUACGACCAUGGAAUAGGAGACUGGAGGGACCCAUGCAACCCAACUGUGGGCCUGGUUCCCCCAGUACGAGCUGAAUGCAAAGACAGAACGAACCAGCAAUUGAAGCCUGCACAUUUUGCAAUUACCUUUCUCAAUUAAUUUAAAAACACAAAGGGAGAGAUGUUGGAGACCGCAAGAAUGAGCGUUGUGACCAACUCAGUAUACCACUGGAGGCUAUAGUGGCAGAGACAUCCUACUGGCUCUGGAGUCUGCAAAUGAGAUCCUGGGAAAACUGACAAAGUGCUGGCAGAAGGAGACAGGGUCUCUGUUUUCCAGGAUGGUCUUGAAUGUGUGGCUUCACACAAUCCUCCCAUCUCAGCCACCUGAAGUGCUGGGAUUACAGGCAUAAGCCACUGUGCCCAGCCUACAGCCACUCUAAAUUCUACAUUGACUACUGUUGUUCAUUGUCGGCACAAUGGAAAGCAAGGUUGUUUUGUACUGUUAUUGGUGUAAGGUAUCUGAGUUACCAGCAGCAAAUCUAUACAUGUCUGCAGCAACCUCAAUUCUUGACUCCUCAGAAGAAAGAAUUUCACGCGGGGCAUAAAGGCAGAAAAAGAGACCGAGGCAAGUUUCAGAGCAUGAGUGGAAGUUUACUUUAAAAGGCUGUAAAACAAGAAAGGAAAGGAAAGUACACUUGGAAGACACCCAAGCUGGCGACUUGAAGGACAAGCGCAAUGUUUUUUUUGAGACGGAGUCUCGCUCUGUCGCCCAGGCUGGAGUACAGUGGCGCGAUCUCGGCUCACUGCAAGCUCCGCCUCCCGGGUUCACGCCAUUCUCCUGCCUCAGCCUCCCGACUAGCUGGGACUACAGGCGCUCACCACCACGUCCAGCUAAUUUUUUUGUAUUUUUAAUAGAGACGGGGUUUCACUGUGUUAGCCAGGAUGGUCUCGAUCUCCUGACUUCGUGAUCCACCCACCUCGGCCUCCCAAAGUGUUGGGAUUACAGGCGUGAGCCACCGCGCCUGGCUUUGACAAGUGCAAUGUUUAACCUUGAUCCUCGGACUUUCUAGAUUGUCCCACUUCCGGCAUCUUGCAUCCCUUUCCCAUGAUUCUUCCCUUAGGGUGGGCUGCCCACAUGCUGGGUGCCCUCCUUACCCUUGGAAAGUGAGCAUGUACAGUGUGUUUGGGAAGUUGUAUGCAUGUGCAUCUGAGACUUUCUUCCCUUUUAAGGUAGAGUGCCCCCAGAAGGUUAUAUUCCGCCAUUUUGACUCUUAAUGUAUAUGCCUGGGAAGUUGCUUCUCCCUGGUAUCUAUGUUCAAUUAACACUUUAGUGCCACAAGUGUGGACCAUCAGGAAAUGGCCUCUCCCUGGCACCGGCUACCAAUUUAUCACUUUUAGAAAGGCAACGUGACAAUUGCCAAACCAUCACCCAACAUUCUUGGUGGGUGGGGGAGAGCCCUCCCCUGCCCCACUUAUGCCUCUAAACUACCUGUAACAGUACCAGAAGUCUAGUUUUACAGUAGCAUAUUUCCGUGUUAGACAUCAAAAUAUGCCACACUAAAAUAAGACUCAAACUUUUCAUAAAACAAAUUUACAUCUACGAAGGGAAUCUUCAUUUGUAAGGUUGUCACUCUGUCCCCACACUGGGAAGAGGUUGACUAAAUCUCUAGAGACUCCAAAUCAACGGUGAAGGUACUGACUUAAAUCUGCCGUGCAAAUUUUUCUUUUGUUUAAGGUGAUUUACCUGCCCAUUCUGUUUUGACUAGGCGUUUUCCCACAGCCUUUUUGCUUUGUUUCACAGAACAGUACUUAAACUAUACCUUUGAAAUCAACUCUAAGGAUUUACUGAUUUCUCUGCGUUAUCUUUCAUGUAUAUUUUCCAGGGAGAUGUACAUAUUAUCAGAUAUUCAGGAAGUGUACAUGUUAUUAAACUUCUAUUUGCUUUUUUCAUGUUAACCUGUUUUUUGUUACAGAGAGUCCCACUUAAGAACUAUGAAAGGUAGACAAAAAAAUUAUUUGUAUUUUCAUACACCUGUAUCUGGAAACAGGAUGGGGCAAAAAAUAAGAUAGUUUACUCAUUGGGGAUGUUGGGGCUCAGAAAACAGUAUCCCACAAUAUGGCACUUCGUUAUACUGGGUACUUUGAAUUAAUGGCAAUUGAAAGGCCUUGGAACCAAGAUCUCCCUAACUUUUGCUUGCCCCCAUUUUCUUUCAAUUCCAAAGUUCAGAAAGGGACUUUCUCUGAAGUUUUCUUAUCUGACAGAAGGAAAUUCCUCUAAAAGGAAUGCAAUUGUUACAAACCCUGUUUCUGGAAUCUACAAUAACCAGAAAAAUUAACUUGUAUCGCAGGAGAGGAGACUAAAAGGACUCCGCACACAGUGACCUAAGAGACUUUAUCU